This 500-nucleotide ribosomal RNA is filed under the name uncultured bacterium. RNAcentral's name for it is "partial 16S ribosomal RNA". It matches the Rfam family "Bacterial small subunit ribosomal RNA", at positions 30 to 523 of the family's 1533-position model. The record is from RNAcentral.
AUUGAACGCUGGCGGAAUGCUUUACACAUGCAAGUCGAACGGCAGCACGGACUUCGGUCUGGUGGCGAGUGGCGAACGGGUGAGUAACAUAUCGGAACGUAUCCAAUAAUGGGGGAUAACGAGUCGGAAGAUUCGCUAAUACCGCAUACGCCCUACGGGGGAAAGCUGGGGACCUUCGGGCCUGGCGUUAAUGGAGCGGCCGAUAUCUGAUUAGCUAGUUGGUGAGGUAAAGGCUCACCAAGGCGACGAUCAGUAGCUGGUCUGAGAGGGCGACCAGCCACACUGGAACUGAGACACGGUACAGACUCCUACGGGAGGCAGCAGUGGGGAAUUUUGGACAAUGGGCGCAAGCCUGAUCCAGCCAUUCCGCGUGAGUGAAGAAGGCCUUCGGGUUGUAAAGCUCUUUCGCAAGGGAAGAAAACUUAGCCACUAACAUUGGUUGAGGUUGACGGUACCUUGAUAAGAAGCACCGGCUAACUACGUGCCAGCCGCCGCAGUAA